UACUGGCGUUAUUGGUUCCUCCCUUCUGAAGAACCGCGAUGUCAUUAAUUUGGUGUCGCGGGAAAUCAGGACUGUUACUUUGAAAAAAUUAGAGUGUUUAAAGCAGGCUCGCGCUUGAAUACAUUAGCAUGGAAUAAUGAAAUAGGACGUUUGAUUCUAUUUUGUUGGUUUCUAGGAUCGACGUAAUGAUUAAUAGGGAUAGUUGGGA
Molecule: ribosomal RNA, 208 nt
Filed under: uncultured fungus
Lineage: Eukaryota; Fungi
Description: partial 18S ribosomal RNA
Rfam family: Eukaryotic small subunit ribosomal RNA
Source: RNAcentral